RNAcentral lists this ribosomal RNA (277 nucleotides) under uncultured Acidovorax sp. RNAcentral describes it as "partial 16S ribosomal RNA". It matches the Rfam family "Bacterial small subunit ribosomal RNA", at positions 1101 to 1382 of the family's 1533-position model. Lineage: Bacteria; Pseudomonadati; Pseudomonadota; Betaproteobacteria; Burkholderiales; Comamonadaceae. The record is from RNAcentral.
AACCUUGUCAUUAGUUGCUACAUUCAGUUGGGCACUCUAAUGAGACUGCCGGUGACAAACCGGAGGAAGUGGGGAUGACGUCAAGUCCUCAUGGCCCUUAUAGUGGGGCUACACACGUCAUACAAUGGAUGGUACAAAGGGUCGCCAACCCGCGAGGGGGAGCCAAUCCCAUAAAGCCAUUCGUAGUCCGGAUCGCAGUCUGCAACUCGACUGCGUGAAGUCGGAAUCGCUAGUAAUCGUGGAUCAGCAUGUCACGGUGAAUACGUUCCCGGGUCUU